UACGGAGGAUGCAAGCGUUAUCCGGAAUGAUUGGGCGUAAAGCGUCCGCAGGUGGCUAUGUAAGUCUGCUGUUAAAGAGCAAAGCUUAACUUUGUAAAAGCAGUGGAAACUACAUAGCUAGAGUGCGUUCGGGGUAGAGGGAAUUCCUGGUGUAGCGGUGAAAUGCGUAGAGAUCAGGAAGAACACCGGUGGCGAAGGCGCUCUACUAGGCCGCAACUGACACUGAGGGACGAAAGCUAGGGGAGCGAAU
This 250-nucleotide ribosomal RNA is filed under the name uncultured bacterium. Its description in RNAcentral is "partial 16S ribosomal RNA". It matches the Rfam family "Bacterial small subunit ribosomal RNA", at positions 524 to 773 of the family's 1533-position model. The record is from RNAcentral.